RNAcentral lists this ribosomal RNA (647 nucleotides) under uncultured bacterium. Its description in RNAcentral is "bacterial SSU rRNA". It matches the Rfam family "Bacterial small subunit ribosomal RNA", at positions 49 to 652 of the family's 1533-position model. The record is from RNAcentral.
UAAUACAUGCAAGUCGAACGCGUUGGCCCGAAUGAUUGAUGAUGCUUGCAUCGGAUUGACGACGGUUUACCAACGAGUGGCGGACGGGUGAGUAACACGUAGGCAACCUGCCCAGAAGCGGGGGACAACAUUUGGAAACAAGUGCUAAUACCGCAUAACAACUGCAACCUCAUGGUUGCAGUUUAAAAGAUGGUUUCGGCUAUCACUUCUGGAUGGGCCUGCGGCGCAUUAGCUAGUUGGUGAGGUAACGGCUUACCAAGGCAGUGAUGCGUAGCCGAGUUGAGAGACUGAUCGGCCACAAUGGAACUGAGACACGGUCCAUACUCCUACGGGAGGCAGCAGUAGGGAAUCUUCCACAAUGGGCGCAAGCCUGAUGGAGCAACACUGCGUGAGUGAAGAAGGGUUUCGGCUCGUAAAACUCUGUUGUUGAAGAAGAACGUGCGUGAGAGUAACUGUUCACGCAGUGACGGUAUUCAACCAGAAAGUCACGGCUAACUACGUGCCAGCAGCCGCGGUAAUACGUAGGUGGCAAGCGUUAUCCGGAUUUAUUGGGCGUAAAGCGAGCGCAGGCGGUUUUCUAAGUCUGAUGUGAAAGCCUUCGGCUUAACCGGAGAAGGGCAUCGGAAACUGGAUAACUUGAGUGCAAG